GUUACAGCUAGAGUACAAAAAUGAUCAUCCCAGUCAGAUGUUUCACAUGCGGCAAGAUAGUUGGAAACAAGUGGGAAGCCUAUCUUGGCCUUCUGCAAGCAGAAUAUACAGAAGGAGAUGCCCUGGAUGCCCUUGGUUUGAAGAGAUACUGCUGCCGCAGAAUGCUCCUAGCCCAUGUGGAUCUGAUUGAGAAGCUUUUGAAUUAUGCACCCCUGGAGAAAUGAGAUGAAAAAAGUACCAUGCUGCAAGCCAUGUGGAACGUAUCUCUAAUUCCAAACUUGAAACUGGACUUCAGGCAGUAAAGGAUGAAAGCCACCUGUAGUGCAACCAUUGAGAGAUGUUUACCUUCUGGAGAAAAUACUGCCCCGAGCCACUAACCUCUUUCAAAGAAACAAAGGAAAGAUGAAGUCCACUUAACCAAGAUUGGGAGAUUAAAUUAAAAGUUUGGAUGCUUCUUUUUAAAUCUGUGUUUGGAGUUGUUUUGUGAACUUUUAGAUGCUUCUGCCAGCAAAAACAAAUGUUUGUUCAUGUAGAAAAAUUAUUGUAUUUCAUAAAAAUGUUGAAAUAAAGGAGGUCUUUCCCUCUAGCCUUCCUACAGUUUCUGGAUA
Non-coding RNA from Pelecanus crispus (Dalmatian pelican), 608 nucleotides. The record is from RefSeq and is a predicted model, not a curated record. Lineage: Eukaryota; Metazoa; Chordata; Aves; Pelecaniformes; Pelecanidae.